RNAcentral lists this ribosomal RNA (500 nucleotides) under uncultured bacterium. Its description in RNAcentral is "partial 16S ribosomal RNA". It matches the Rfam family "Bacterial small subunit ribosomal RNA", at positions 30 to 523 of the family's 1533-position model. The record is from RNAcentral.
AUUGAACGCUGGCGGCAUGCUUUACACAUGCAAGUCGAACGGUAACAGGGUGCUUGCACCGCUGACGAGUGGCGAACGGGUGAGCAAUGCGUCGGAACGUGCCGAGUAGUGGGGGAUAACGCAUCGAAAGGUGUGCUAAUACCGCAUACGUACUGAGGUAGAAAGUGGGGGACCUUCGGGCCUCACGCUAUUCGAGCGGCCGACGUCUGAUUAGCUCGUUGGUGAGGGAAAGGCUCACCAAGGCGACGAUCAGUAGCGGGUCUGAGAGGAUGAUCCGCCACACUGGGACUGAGACACGGCCCAGACUCCUACGGGAGGCAGCAGUGGGGAAUUUUGGACAAUGGGCGCAAGCCUGAUCCAGCCAUGCCGCGUGUCUGAAGAAGGCCUUCGGGUUGUAAAGGACUUUUGUCCGGGAGCAAAUACCCAGUGCUAAUAACGUUGGGGGCUGAGAGUACCGGAAGAAUAAGCACCGGCUAACUACGUGCCAGCCGCCGCCGUAA